GCAUGGCUGAGAGCCUAAAAACUUCCCCUUUUGCAUUCGACACGUUGAUGCAGAUUGACAGAGGUGGAUUUUGGGGGUGCCCGUCCAUGUGCUCAGUGGUGGUCCGGGGGAGACUGCGAGAGAGGAGUUGGACGUGGGGCUGCGUUGGUGCAGGUGAGCGCGAGCAGAAAGGAGGGAGAGAAGAGGGAAAAGCGGAGAGGCUGACAUGUGGGACCAAUUU
This 220-nucleotide long non-coding RNA is filed under the name Setaria italica (foxtail millet). Its description in RNAcentral is "long non-coding RNA (SITA_LNC001028)". The record is from RNAcentral. Lineage: Eukaryota; Viridiplantae; Streptophyta; Magnoliopsida; Poales; Poaceae.